Long non-coding RNA from Equus quagga, 757 nucleotides. RefSeq lists it as uncharacterized. Lineage: Eukaryota; Metazoa; Chordata; Mammalia; Perissodactyla; Equidae. The record is from RefSeq and is a predicted model, not a curated record. The transcript has 3 exons.
GGCGGCCAGCGUGGAAUGCUCCGUGGUUCUCGAUCGUGGGUUGGCUUCUCUGCCCCUUACCUCCCCCUCCCCCGUUCCAAGGGGGAAAGAAUAAUGGACACCACUGAUUGCAUGUCUACUCUGUGUCAGGUGCUGGUUUCUUGCCUGCCAUUUCCCUCAUCCUCACUCUCUGAGGUUGGCACUGUCACCUCCCUUUACCUGUGAAGAAAUGGAGACAGAGGAAAGUUCACUCCCCAGCCCAAGAGCAAGCAGGCACGGCAGAGGAACAGGCUGACCACUGGUGGGAAACACACCUACAAGAUAUUCAUCAUCACUGACAGAAGAACAAUGAAAGACCCUGGAGUCCGUCAUGCCUGAAGGCUGACAUUUCUAAACACCCUCCUUACUGCCCAUUUCCCCUAUAUAACUGCCUGAAGAUUCUGUAAUCCUUGAAGAUGGGUUUUUGAGACAUUAGUCACCCGUCUUCUGAUUUGCCAGCUAAUCUAAUGAAAACUUCCUUUCUCAUCCCUGACUUGUUGUGAUUAACUGGCUCAGAUCACUGUCAGCAGAGUGAGCCCAUUGCUCAGUAUUAAGACGUAAGCAAGUCAUGGAGGAGAAGUUUGUAUUUGGGGUCCCUGAACAUCAGCCAUUUUGUUAUUUGAUCCUUUUUUUCUACCUCUUUCCCAGCAGGAAUCUUCUCUGCCCUCCCCCAGGAAGCCAUAAUCUAGUGAUAAUUCCUUAGCUUUUGACAGUGCAUUACAGUUGAGCAAUCCUUUGC